AUUAAUAUUUUAAUGUAUUUCUGUUUCAUUUAUUUUAUAUGCAUAAUUUUUGUCAGUUAUUUAAUGGUCAUACUGCUUACAUACUUUUGAAAACAAUUUUUAAAAUUUAACAUUUCUAUGUAAGCAUUUUCUCAUGUUAUUAUGAAUUCUUAAUAAAUAUCAUUUUAAUGGCUGCUUAAUGUUCCAGCAAGUGGAUAUUCCAGAAUUUACUUAAUGAUCUCUUUAUUACCAGACAUUAACUGGUUUCUAAUUUUUUAGUAUUACAGAUAAUGUCAUGAUCAAUAUUUGGGGGCAUUUUCCACAUUUCAGAUUAUUUCCUUAGGCUAGAUUUACAGAAGUAGAAUUGCAGAGUCAAAAGGUAUGAAAACAUUCAACACUCUCAAGAAAUAUUGUCAUACUGCUUUAUAAAAGGGUUGGUGCAGUUUGCACUGCCGCUAGCAGCUAAUCGAGCAAAACUGCAAUGGGACUAAAAACAGUUUAUGGAGUUAGACCAGGGUUUCUCAACCUCAGCACAAUUGACCUUUUGUGCAGGAUAAUUCUUUGUUAUGGGAGGCUGUCGUACGUAUUGUAGUAAUGUUUAGCAGUAUCCCCGCUAUCUGUCCACUAGAAUUCAGUAGCAACCCUCAGUUAUGACAACAAAAAAUGUCUCCAGACAUUGCCACAUGCAUCCUUGGGGGCAAAAUCAUCCCUGGUUAAGACCUCAUGUGUUAGACAAACUUUAACUUUGACUUUCAUUUGAGCUCUACCACAUACUAGCAAGCCAAUGUGGGCAGGUUACUUGAUCUCUCUGGCUCAUCAUUUAUUCAUCGUAAACUGGGGAUGAUUACACUCAGCUCAGGAGUUGCUUGUGAAGAUAAGAUAGUGUAUGUAAGGUGUUUCAUACAAUGCUUGGAGCCUGGUAACAGCUAGUAACUAUUUGCAAUUAAGAUCAUGGUGGCAAUGCUGGAAGUGCCCUGUGAAAGGACCUGGCUUUUGUGUGAAUGAAGGAGAGGUGGGUUUAGUGAAUCACUGAUAUUCAUUCAUUUAUUUAUGCACUCAUUCAGUUAGUAUUUAUUGGGCCAUUACUACAUGCCAGGAAUUGUUCCAGGCACAAAGGAUACAGCAGUGUAUAAAAUACUGUCCUCAUGGAGCUUAUAUUCGAGUGGAGAGACAGGCAAUAAAUGAGAUUGGAAAAGUUAAUUAUAUGAUAUGUUAGGAAAGAGGAUAGAAAUUGUUUGGCAGGUGGGAGAGGUUGAAAUUUUAGAUAGGAUAGAUCUGGAAGUCUCUAUCGAAGAGGGACAAUUAAGACUUGACUUUGCCAUGUAGGCACUGAAGGGCAGUCCAGAUGGAGGGAAGAGCAAGUGCAAAGGCCCUGAAACAGAAAUGUGCCCAGAAUGUUCAAGGACUCACAGAUCUAACUUGGCUGAAGGCAAGGCUUCGGGGUCAAUAAGGAGAGCUGAUUGCAGGACUAUGCAUCACCAUCUGAUUACCUGGGUGUGCUUCAUGCUCUCGUGUGUGUGUGACAUUGUCAUGGAUGCAAUGUUCUCCUCAGAACAUGGAAUUCAACCUGCUGUCCUCUCUCAGUAACAAUAAUGAAGCUUUUAAAGCAUCCCUGAAAGAGUUAUCGUGGAAGGAUUUGCUAAAGGACCAAAGACAACUGCCAACCUCUUCAAAGGCAAUUUUCCUGCAUCAGUGUCACACAGCUGCUCUGGGAAGCAAUGCAGAAGGUUCCCUCCCUGAGUUCUCCGACCACAGUGGACGACUCCAGUGGCUUCAAGAAACAUCCAUGACAGUACUGGGGAUCAUUCGUUGGUUUCACAGUGUAGGGCCUGGUUUGUGAUUCUCUCUAAUGGCAGACCAGGCCUCUGGACCAGAAAUGGGGCCAUGGAAAGUGGCAUGAAAGGAUCUCAGCAACAGGAAUAAACAGAUUUGGUUCUAGCAGUGCUUGUUUCAUUAGAUAUUUCAACCUGCUUAAGUGGAGAAAUAGUAGACUUGAACCAAUUGAAAAAACCCAGAACGAUACACACCAAUUUGCUGAGUCCUGAAAAGAAUGCAAUUCCAAAUCUAUUCAUCUACCGAAACCAUGACCCAAACCAAUAUCACCACCAAACCUACCCACCCCACCAAACACACACUCUGAGAAGGGAGAGAGGAUGCGGAAUAAGGACCAAAGGAUUAAAGAAGAAUGUCAAAUAAUUCUGCAUAGUAAACCUGAACUAAAGUAAAAUUAUAUCAAUCCUCCUUUUCCCAUCAAAGACUGAGCAUUCUGGUUAAUGAAAUAAUUUAAGGUACAGUAAUUUGCUUUCACGGAAACACAAUUUUCCAACUUAUGAGUAACUUAUAUGUACAGUGGGAAUCAAAGUAUCCUUUUAGUCUUUAAUAAACCAAGCAUUAUAAUGAAGAUAGUGUCUAAACAGCUUUCUCCUUUUAGUGGUCCGCACCAAAGAAGAUAAAUAGAUGGGCUUAGCUACAGAAAGGCAGCCUCCACAGACAGGAGGUGAAUGCAUCCUUCUUCUGCAUGUGGUGCUGAGAAUUGGGAGGGCUUGCAAACUUCACCGGACAGGUGUAUCCUUCUUUUGCUCUUCACAGUUAAGGAUCUGGAACAUUCCAGCUCCUUGGCAGCAAGGAAGGUUACCAGAUGUAAAAGAACGCAAAGGGUAUCUCUGGAGGAGAAAAGUCUUUCAGGCUCUUGGGACUCUUUGGACCCUUGUUAGAAAUUGUGUGUACCCUACUCUCCUGGCCUGAGGAAGAACCGAUGCUUGGCGAAGGCUGAGGUUUAGAUGUAUGGCCACAGUGGCUUUGCAGCUCGUUUUCUGAACCAGUCCAAUUCGGAGGCAGAUCGAGAUUAAGCUCAAAGAGAAGAAUUUUAGGCAUGGGAUAAAACUUAAUUUUCCUGAUGAGAGAAAUGAGAGCUAAAGUGAGAAAGUGCUAAUGAAAGAUUCCAGGCAAAGAAGGCAGGGCCAGCUGCCAGUUUACAAACUGAGCUUGGCAGACAGACAGUGGAGCUCUGACAGGGAGUUUCUCUGUGCAUUUUAGAAGAAGGCAGAAUAGAUCUAAAUGCAGCCAACCUAUUGAUUUAUUCUCUUUGUACUGGACAUGGCUUUUUAUUAAAGAAAGCAGAUAUUCAAUAGUGUUAACUAGUAAUGGGAAUUGACUUUUCACUAAUUGCACAGACCUUGGCAUUAAUACACUUUAAUGGAACCUGGGCUCUGUGUCCCUCAGAUCAAUCCCGAAGUUUUUCUCUAACUCUUUCUGGUCAAAGGAUAUGAAUGGCAUUGUAACCGAGGAGACCUUUUUUAAUCUUUUUUUUUUUUUUAAUUCAUGGAAUGAAUAGGCUGAGGAACUUUCUUUUAUUCCAAGAGACCAGAGAGAGGGGUAGUUCUGUGACUUCUAAAAUACAUAGAAACUUUGUGGGUCUGAACUGACUUUGGAGCUUGGUGUUGGCAAUUUAAAAUUCAGUUGUGAAGGCUGGAAAAGAGUUUAGCUUCCCAUGCACCUGGCUGGGUCCUGCCCUUGCUGGAUUUUCUGAGGCAGACGAAUCACCACUUAUUUAUCAUUCAUUUGUUAGAUUUAUUAAAAGUAAAUAGGAUCCCUGACAGCUGCUGGGCUCAUAUGCAGACCUGGAGCCAAGGAUAUGAGAAUAUGGGUAGCCCUGGCAAACCUCUACAGCAGAAUCUGACCUCACCAAAGGGAAAGUAGCAUGGCAUACCAGAUCCUGCCAUGGACAAGGACAUUCCUGAAGGCCCCAGGAUGGCAAAUGUCCCAACUCCAGUUCUCCAGGAAUUAUUGUCAGAUUCUUUCUCCAGCCACAGAAUAUUAGGAGGAUCCUCUAAGACAAUGAUGCUUCAAAUCCAAAGCAUGAGACUUUGAGGUUCUCAGGGAGGAUGUUUGUCUCUUAUUAAUCUUUGAAUAUGACAAUUCCUGGAGUCAGGGCCAGACAAACCCGGUUUAAUUUAUAGUUUUACCUCUUUCUAGCUUGGUGGUAAUAAGUCAGUCUCUGUGAGCCUCUAUGUCUUCAUUUGCAAAAAAGAAAGAAAGAAAAUAGAAACACAUGAUUCAAAGGGUUGUUGAGGGAUUCAAAUAAAAUACUGUAUGUAAAGCUUUUAGCUCAUUGAGGGCUCCUUCAGUGAAUGGUAGUUAUGAUUAUCAUCAUCUUUGAAUCCUUCGCACUUAGACAUUGGGCAUUUUGUAAAUGUAAGUUCAGUGAAUGGGUUCAUUCUUUGAUUCAACUAAUUUUGUGCCUGUUACAUGCCAAGCACUAUUCUGCAGUGCACAGACACACCUCCUGACCUCAUGGAGUGUACAGUUUGGUGGGAAUACAGGAACAGAGAAGUAAAUGAAUGGAUAAACUGUCUGAAAUUUAAUUUUGGAUAGUAAUAAGUUCCAUGAAAGAUAUUAAGCAAGAUAAGAGGAUCGAAAGUGAUUUUGUAUAUGUUUGUGUGACAGAGAGAGAGAGAAAAAGAAGAAAGAAAGAAAAGAAAGAAAGAGAAAGAAAGAAGAAAGAGUAUAGCAAGUGAAGGUCUAUGGGUGAGACAAAUGAAUAAAUAUAAACAGAGAUUUCUUCAGGUACUUAUAAUGCAUCUGCCCUACUUGUUUUAAUACCUUUGGCCAAGUGUUCACUCAACAACAUAUCUCUGUACUUGAUGAACUCUUGUGCUGUAGUUUCUCUUUACCUAGUGAGGUGAGAUAACUCCCAUUAGGUGAGUGUCUUUAUUUGUUUUCAUCCUUGACCUUGGGUCCUUUUUCCUAAAGUGUCCCCCACCUCCAUCCCAGGACUUCAUCUCAAAAAUAAACAUAAAAGGCAGGAAAAUGCCUCCCUUUUCAUAUCUGACUUCUGUACUUCCAGGCUUGCCUUCCAGAAGUGGACAGCCAUGGAUUCAAGAUGUGUCAAAAUUGGAAGGAGCUUUGUUUCUAUUUGGCCCUGAAAAGUGUUCCACAACUGGACUGCCAUAUUGAAUUAUUUUCAGCAGUAGAAAUUCUUCGAUGGCCCAUUUCAGACCAGCCUCUAAUUUGAAAGUAAUAACAUUUGGGCAAAGCUUAGAUGCACUAAGUUGCUGCCGAGGGCUUGGUGGGCUUUGAGGUAAUUGGUUUUACUCAGUUGCUGAUGCUUCACUUGGACAAAUGAGAAAUCAAACUACAGCUCAGUUUGCAGAAAAGCCCGUGUCAGCAGUUUAGUCUGACUACUAUUUCAGAGCUUGUUAUAUUAUUGGCAAUAAAAUGCAACUAAUAUACUGUUAAUUAAUAUUGCAUCCUACAGCUAAUUUAUCACAUUAUUAAUCAGAGUGAUAAAGCCAAGGAAAAUGCAGCUUACCUUUAGUGUCCUUUCAUCUCUUUUAAACACUUGUAUUUACGCACAAAUAGGUGUUUUGGUCAACAUUGUCAAGUGUUUGGGUGGUCCUGGAUGAGUGUAUUUUAUUUGCAAACAGUAACUUCCCCCUCAGGAAUAUUUUAUUUAGCAAGACAGGACUUAAAGUGAAAGGGUAACCAUUUCUGAUCGUAACCUUGGCUUUGUGCUUCUAGUAAUUAUCCUUUAAUUUCAUUACCCUAUUUGAAAUAGAGUUGUAAUUGGAAAAAAACAAUUUGACAUUCCCUGAUGCUUACUCUGACAUGCACUAUUUGCUUUUUAUUCAAAUGUAAAUUUUCACCAUAAUACUAUCAAAGAAAGAAAAAAAAUUAAGCAAAAUUGAAAUGUCAGUUGCAAUUUCUGACAUGCAGGCAGUGUCAUUCACUGGUUUUGUCUGGAAGGCAAGACUUUCACUUCAGAUGGAAAAAAAAAAUCAAACUGAAAUUAGUAUGCUUUGAGGAGAGGGAGAGAUGGAUGGCAGAAUCACAGAUCUAUUCCUUUGGGAUAUGUGUCCACUUUGCACAGUGGCUUCAAAAUAUCAAACAAGCAUCCAGCUAUGAUUUUUGGAUGAAUAAUCCUUUAUGCUUAAUAUAAAAAACACUUUUCCUUAAAAACUGAAAAAUCAUAAACUUACCUCUAUUUUACCCUAGGCAUCUUGAAGGUGUAAUUUUCAUUUGGAGCAUGUGUUAGGCAGUCUCUAAAAUGGCUACAAUGAUUUCUGUCUCCUGAUAUCACACUCUUAUAAACUCUUCUCUUUUGGUUGUGGGCUAGACAUUUUGACUUGCUUCUAAUAAAUAGAACACAGCAAAAGUAAUGGCAUGUCACUCCCAAGAUUAGAUUAUACAAAGUACUGUGGCUUCUGCUUUGGGCUUCCCUGUUUUGCUUUCUCACAUGUUCACCCUGAGGGAGAUCAGCCUCCAUGUUGUGAGCAGCCCUAUGGAGAGGCCUUGUGGUAACUGAGGGAGGUCUCUGGCCGGUAACCAGUUGAGAAUUGAGGCCUUUGGCCCAUUAACCCAUGAGGAGCUGAAUCUUGCCAACAGUUUGGAAGUGAAUCAUCUUUCAGUUGAACCUUCAGAUGAGCCCACAGCCCCAGCUGACACCUAACUAUUACCUCAUGAGAGAACUUCAGCCAGAGGCACCCAGCUAAGUGGCAGCUGGAUUCCUGACCAAUAGAAAUUGUGAGGUAAUAAGUGCUUGUUCUUUCAAGCUGCUCAGUUUUGGGGUAAUUUAUUAUAUGGCAAUAAAUAAUUAAUAUAGGGUAGGAGAGAACAAAUAUUAAACUAAUAAUUCUAGAUAAGUUUGGCUUGUCACAUAGGCAGGAAAAAAACAUAAACAAUG
This 6661-nucleotide long non-coding RNA is filed under the name Homo sapiens (human). RNAcentral's name for it is "HSALNT0362057". Lineage: Eukaryota; Metazoa; Chordata; Mammalia; Primates; Hominidae. The record is from RNAcentral.